UGGAAGUAAAAGUCGUAACAAGGUCUCCGUUGGUGAACCAGCGGAGGGAUCAUUACUGAGUUUUCUAAACUCCCAAACCCAUGUGAACAUACCUUUUGUUGCCUCGGCAGUGGUGCCGUCGCCCCUCGCGGCGGCGGCAGCCUGCCGGCGGACCCAAUAAACUCUUGUUGUUACAGUGUCAUUCUGAAUUAAAAAACUUAAUUAGUUAAAACUUUCAACAACGGAUCUCUUGGUUCUGGCAUCGAUGAAGAACGCAGCGAAAUGCGAUAAGUAAUGUGAAUUGCAGAAUUCAGUGAAUCAUCGAAUCUUUGAACGCACAUUGCGCCCAUUAGUAUUCUAGUGGGCAUGCCUGUUCGAGCGUCAUUUCAACCCUUAAGCCCCAGUUGCUUAGUGUCGGGAGACUGCCGUAAAACGCAGCUCCUCAGAGUUAGCUGGCAGAGUUGGUUCCAAUCUCUGGGCGUAGUAAAUCUUUAUCUCGUCUCUUGCAGUUGGGCCGGCGCUCGCCAUUAAACACCCCAAAUUUUUCUAUGGUUGACCUCGGAUCAGGUAGGAAUACCCGCUGAACUUAAGCAUAUCAAUAAGCGGAG
RNAcentral lists this ribosomal RNA (587 nucleotides) under fungal sp. ARIZ L365. RNAcentral's name for it is "eukaryotic LSU rRNA". The stretch from base 210 to 363 matches the Rfam family "5.8S ribosomal RNA". Lineage: Eukaryota; Fungi. The record is from RNAcentral.